Ipomoea nil (Japanese morning glory) is the source of this 82-nucleotide microRNA precursor. It matches the Rfam family "mir-395 microRNA precursor family". From Rfam's summary of the family: mir-395 was identified in both Arabidopsis thaliana and Oryza sativa computationally and was later experimentally verified. mir-395 is thought to target mRNAs coding for ATP sulphurylases. Lineage: Eukaryota; Viridiplantae; Streptophyta; Magnoliopsida; Solanales; Convolvulaceae. The record is from Rfam.
GUUUCCCCUGGAGUCCCUCUGAACACUUCAUUGGGGAAGGGUAAUUGCCUACUGAAGUGUUUGGGGGAACUCUGGGAGCCAC